This 420-nucleotide ribosomal RNA is filed under the name uncultured bacterium. RNAcentral describes it as "bacterial SSU rRNA". It matches the Rfam family "Bacterial small subunit ribosomal RNA", at positions 355 to 773 of the family's 1533-position model. The record is from RNAcentral.
UGGGGAAUCUUGCGCAAUGGUCGAAAGACUGACGCAGCGACGCCGCGUGUGGGAGGACGCCUUUCGGGGUGUAAACCACUGUUGCCCGGGACGAACUGCUUCUUUCGAGAAGCUUGACGGUACCGGGUGAGGAAGCACCGGCUAACUCCGUGCCAGCAGCCGCGGUAAUACGGAGGGUGCGAGCGUUGUCCGGAAUCAUUGGGCGUAAAGGGCGCGUAGGUGGCCCGGUCAGUUCGUGGUGAAAGCGCGGGGCUCAACCCUGCGUCGGCCAUGAAUACUGCCGCGGCUGGAGCACUGUAGAGGCAGGCGGAAUUCCGGGUGUAGCGGUGGAAUGCGUAGAGAUCCGGAAGAACACCGGUGGCGAAGGCGGCCUGCUGGGCAGUUUGCUGACACUGAGGCGCGACAGCGUGGGGAGCAAAC